UUUACCCGCUUUUUAAAACUUAGUUUUAUUAAAAAAAUUAGAACAAGUAGGGUUAGUAGCAAAUAUUUUUCCCUCAAGUUUUUCUGCUCAUCCCCAUUCCUCUAGGGUUAAUAUCAAAAAUUUCCCCCCAAUUUUUUUUGGUGAGCACGAUUCGUCUAGGAUUAAUACCAUAAUUUUCCCCCAAUUUUUUUCGGUCAGCUCAAUCAAACCGCUUCUCCGUUCUAUGCUGGACAUCCAACUCGUCCUUAGGACGUCUUCAUGAAUAUAUCAUUUAUGAUAGUCGGAGAUUGAAAAACGAUGGCCAUUUUUUGAGUCUUGGUAGUGUUAAAUUAGAACUUAAGUCGCUGAUUUGUAUCUGGUGUCUUCUCUGAGCUACAAGAAGUUGAUUUUUAUCUGGUUUUCCUGCGAUUUUACUUCUUUGAAAACGUUCUUCUUCUCAGGUGCGACAACUUUUACAAGAUGAACCAGACAACUCCGAGUAUAUUGACAUGGAGAAAGAGCUUGUUGAGGUCUGCGAUAUGUGAUGGUGGCCGGCAAGCUCUAUACCAUGAUUUCAAAUGUCACUAAGUGAAUCUAAGUUUUGAAUUUAAAUAUUAAUUCGUUUCUUGGCUCAAUGUUUGGUCCUUCUUCCUAGCUUGCCUAUCAAUUGAAGUGCUGCUCGACAUUCACAACCGUGGAGAGUAAUUUAAUGACUUCCUAAUUAGAUCUUGCAACAAGCUUUUAUGAGUAUGGUUGGGGUGACUCUUUCUAUUUUGCUCCAAGGUAGGUACUUUGUUCUCUUCUUUUACGAAUGCACUUACUGUUUUCUUAAAAAACAACCAUCAUCAAUAAAAGAGGACAAUUAGUUAUUGUAGUUUCCUUCUUAUAACAGAUGGAAAGGGGAAUCACUUCGAGAAAGUAUCAAACGACAUAAAGACUUUCUUGCUCUACAAUUAGGCGUAAAGCAAGGACAAAAGAUUUUGGAUGUUGGGUGUGUAAUUGGUGGCCCCUUAAGAGAAAUUGCCAGAUUUAGAGUGACCGCCUGAAGCUGCUAGUUGAACACUUGACAACUAUCAAUUUAUUUAACUAUUUCUAUAGUCCUCAGUAAUCAUCUAGGGAAAUUAUCAACUAUGAUACAGACAUUAGACAAGAAGUUAUUGCAGAUGUAAUUGCUCAACUUCAGAUUAUAGGAUUAUUGGAUCCUAAGAUGCUAGCGGCAUUGUCCAUUUCUUCAUCAAAAGAUUCUACCUCUACACUUGUAGAUACUGGGAGAAACAGUCAAAACAAUCAAGGUGAUCAUGAAAUAGAAGAUGGCAAAAACAAAAUUGAUGAACUAGACCUGACCUAAGAGAUCGAUCGCACUGGCUUCAUGUUACACUAGUUGCUGAAAAAUUUGAUCGAGUAGUUUCAAACAUCUUUUAUUUUUGAACAUUCAAAACUUGUGUAUGUUUUGAUCUUUUGGAAUGGUCAAAAAAUAGUUGUUUUUUUGCAUAUGACAUUUUGGGAAUUAAUUGUUACUAAUACUCUUGAUGAUUAUAUGUACAUUUUUUGUGUUA
Long non-coding RNA from Capsicum annuum, 1535 nucleotides. RefSeq lists it as uncharacterized. NCBI's taxonomy places the organism in Eukaryota, Viridiplantae, Streptophyta, Magnoliopsida, Solanales, Solanaceae. The transcript is spliced from 8 exons. The record is from RefSeq and is a predicted model, not a curated record.